This 253-nucleotide ribosomal RNA is filed under the name uncultured bacterium. RNAcentral describes it as "partial 16S ribosomal RNA". It matches the Rfam family "Bacterial small subunit ribosomal RNA", at positions 524 to 776 of the family's 1533-position model. The record is from RNAcentral.
UACGUAGGGUGCAAACGUUAUCCGGAUUUAUUGGGCGUAAAGAGCUCGUAGGUGGUCAUGCAAGUUGGAUAUUAAAUCUCCCGGCUCAACUGGGAAGCUGUAUUCAAAACUGCAUAACUAGAGGUAUGUAGGGGCAGAUGGAACUUACGGUGUAGCGGUAAAAUGCGUAGAUAUCGUAAGGAACGCCGAUGGUGAAGACGAUCUGCUGGACAUCACCUGACACUGAGGAGCGAAAGCGUGGGUAGCGAUCGGG